This 1028-nucleotide ribosomal RNA is filed under the name Salmonella enterica. RNAcentral describes it as "bacterial SSU rRNA". It matches the Rfam family "Bacterial small subunit ribosomal RNA", at positions 78 to 1102 of the family's 1533-position model. Lineage: Bacteria; Pseudomonadati; Pseudomonadota; Gammaproteobacteria; Enterobacterales; Enterobacteriaceae. The record is from RNAcentral.
UGCUGCUUCGCUGACGAGUGGCGGACGGGUGAGUAAUGUCUGGGAAACUGCCUGAUGGAGGGGGAUAACUACUGGAAACGGUGGCUAAUACCGCAUAACGUCGCAAGACCAAAGAGGGGGACCUUCGGGCCUCUUGCCAUCAGAUGUGCCCAGAUGGGAUUAGCUUGUUGGUGAGGUAACGGCUCACCAAGGCGACGAUCCCUAGCUGGUCUGAGAGGAUGACCAGCCACACUGGAACUGAGACACGGUCCAGACUCCUACGGGAGGCAGCAGUGGGGAAUAUUGCACAAUGGGCGCAAGCCUGAUGCAGCCAUGCCGCGUGUAUGAAGAAGGCCUUCGGGUUGUAAAGUACUUUCAGCGGGGAGGAAGGUGUUGUGGUUAAUAACCGCAGCAAUUGACGUUACCCGCAGAAGAAGCACCGGCUAACUCCGUGCCAGCAGCCGCGGUAAUACGGAGGGUGCAAGCGUUAAUCGGAAUUACUGGGCGUAAAGCGCACGCAGGCGGUCUGUCAAGUCGGAUGUGAAAUCCCCGGGCUCAACCUGGGAACUGCAUUCGAAACUGGCAGGCUUGAGUCUUGUAGAGGGGGGUAGAAUUCCAGGUGUAGCGGUGAAAUGCGUAGAGAUCUGGAGGAAUACCGGUGGCGAAGGCGGUCCCCUGGACAAAGACUGACGCUCAGGUGCGAAAGCGUGGGGAGCAAACAGGAUUAGAUACCCUGGUAGUCCACGCCGUAAACGAUGUCUACUUGGAGGUUGUGCCCUUGAGGCGUGGCUUCCGGAGCUAACGCGUUAAGUAGACCGCCUGGGGAGUACGGCCGCAAGGUUAAAACUCAAAUGAAUUGACGGGGGCCCGCACAAGCGGUGGAGCAUGUGGUUUAAUUCGAUGCAACGCGAAGAACCUUACCUGGUCUUGACAUCCACAGAACUUUCCAGAGAUGGAUUGGUGCCUUCGGGAACUGUGAGACAGGUGCUGCAUGGCUGUCGUCAGCUCGUGUUGUGAAAUGUUGGGUUAAGUCCCGCAACGAGCGCAAC